This 326-nucleotide long non-coding RNA is filed under the name Salvia miltiorrhiza (redroot sage). Its description in RNAcentral is "long non-coding RNA (SMIL_LNC010690)". Lineage: Eukaryota; Viridiplantae; Streptophyta; Magnoliopsida; Lamiales; Lamiaceae. The record is from RNAcentral.
AGCGGAAUAAGGUUCUGAUUACAUGUAUGAAGACAUGUAUCCCUAGAGUUCAUUAAUACAUAAUAAGACAAAAGAGUCCCGCUCGUCACUUCAUCACCAUCGGCAGCUACUCAACCUGCACAUUUAGAAAUAUAUGCAGGGCUGAGUACAAAAGUACUCAGUGGGCACGUAUGCCUAAGUAUAAAAAUACAUGCUUCAAAAGUGUAAAUUGUCAUGCCAUCAUAAACAGUACAGCAAGGGAGUUUUUCGCUAAAAAGGCCCAAGCUUACUAAGUUCAUUUGUGAUUCUUAAAGUUCGACUGCAGUCUAAGUUCUCUUGUAAUCUAU